CGAACGCUGGCGGCAGGCCUAACACAUGCAAGUCGAGCGCGCCCUUCGGGGUGAGCGGCGGACGGGUUAGUAACGCGUGGGAAUAUGCCCAAUGGUACGGAAUAGCCUCUGGAAACGGAGAGUAAUACCGUAUGAGCCCUUCGGGGGAAAGAUUUAUCGCCAUUGGAUUAGCCCGCGUUAGAUUAGGUAGUUGGUGGGGUAAUGGCCUACCAAGCCUACGAUCUAUAGCUGGUUUUAGAGGAUGAUCAGCAACACUGGGACUGAGACACGGCCCAGACUCCUACGGGAGGCAGCAGUGGGGAAUCUUGGACAAUGGGGGCAACCCUGAUCCAGCCAUGCCGCGUGAGUGAUGAAGGCCUUAGGGUCGUAAAGCUCUUUCGCCUGUGAAGAUAAUGACGGUAGCAGGUAAAGAAACCCCGGCUAACUCCGUGCCAGCAGCCGCGGUAAUACGGAGGGGGUUAGCGUUGUUCGGAAUUACUGGGCGUAAAGCGCACGUAGGCGGAUCGGAAAGUUGGGGGUGAAAUCCCGGGGCUCAACCCCGGAACUGCCUCCAAAACUAUCGGUCUAGAGUUCGAGAGAGGUGAGUGGAAUUCCAAGUGUAGAGGUGAAAUUCGUAGAUAUUUGGAGGAACACCAGUGGCGAAGGCGGCUCACUGGCUCGAUACUGACGCUGA
Molecule: ribosomal RNA, 673 nt
Filed under: bacterium S1cc75
Lineage: Bacteria
Description: bacterial SSU rRNA
Rfam family: Bacterial small subunit ribosomal RNA
Source: RNAcentral